ACGAAUGGCGGAGUGACGGGAAAAAGACGUAAAGGGCACAUGGCCUUCUCAUGUGCGAUCUGACUUGUGUGUUUAAAAAGACCGGUGUCACUGCUUUUAGCAAUAUCGCCUCUUUUAAUGUCGGGAGACAUUUUGUCAUUUAUGGGUCGUGCUAUGAAGCUAUGGAUGCCUUCAGUUGUGACUUGUUUGUCCUUAUGCAGCCGCUGCUAGCUGGUAGCAGUCAGACUCGUCUCAUUUUGUGUCGUCAAUGCGUAUACGGUACGGCUCAGAAGCGUCAUAGAUGUGAAAUGGUCAGUCUAAUAAUAUUUGCGGUAGUCGAUCUGAUAAAAAAAAAAAAUAUUUUACCUUUGAGUUGACCUUCACAGUUUGUGAAACUUUGAGUAGACUGAACAUUUGCCCAUGAGGAAACUUGCGAGAGAUUGAGCUGCACUUUUAUGUCGAGAAAUUUAAUGCACGAAUACCUUGAUUUUUUUUUUUUUUUUUCUCUCUCCCCAAGUGACUCUGAUCUCAGACUCGAUGGUGAUGCAUCUGAAGUCAAAGGUUUGCCCAAGCCUUGUCCAAGUCUUCAACCAUCACAGACGAUUUAUAUUGCUAUUGAUUUCAAAUGAUAUCAGAUUCAAGAUGUGGCAGGCUGAUAAGUUGAAGGUCAUUGACAGUCUGACUCAGCAAUGGGAUGCAACACAUUUAUUUCCAUAGGUUUCCCUCAACGAGGCAAAUCUGUAAGACUAAAUCUGCAGUCGUUCUCCGCAAAAUGAUGAUCGUUUUGAAUUAUGCAGCACUUUUUACCCGACGGAGCAGAGUACGUCAAUAUUUGUCAUGUCUGAUUCCAAAAUCUGUUGAGGCGUUACCAUUAGCCGCUAGCAACACGCUCCCAAAUCAGUGACCCACAACAAUCAAGCUCUCUAGAAAUCCUCUUGUCGUUGCUGCUUUGGGAAAUAUUUCAGCAAAGCAUGCAAGGAGAGAUCCAAAACACAACACACAUGACUUUCUUCUCUCUAACCUCCUCUGUUGUAUUCUGUCAACACACCACCUCCGCAGAACAAUGAGAAUAUUCUCUGAUCCCCCGUUGUGCAAAGAGAGCUCACUUCUCCACUCAACUUUUUAUUCUUAUUUUUUCUUUUUUUAUAACACCGUCUACUGUAUCAGCAGAAUUACUGCAGCGCUUCUUUGCUGCUGCAACUGCCUUGCUAGAGUGUGUCAAGCCUACAGGGGUUUGCUGCUUUGAUCUACUGCACAAUACCCAGUGUGUGAGGGGGGGAAU
Long non-coding RNA from Syngnathus acus (greater pipefish), 1261 nucleotides. RefSeq lists it as uncharacterized. The record is from RefSeq and is a predicted model, not a curated record. The transcript is spliced from 2 exons. NCBI's taxonomy places the organism in Eukaryota, Metazoa, Chordata, Actinopteri, Syngnathiformes, Syngnathidae.